This 471-nucleotide ribosomal RNA is filed under the name Eimeria subspherica. Its description in RNAcentral is "SSU rRNA". It matches the Rfam family "Eukaryotic small subunit ribosomal RNA", at positions 1334 to 1831 of the family's 1831-position model. The record is from RNAcentral. Lineage: Eukaryota; Apicomplexa; Conoidasida; Eucoccidiorida; Eimeriidae.
AACGAGACCUUAGCCUGCUAAAUAGGAUCGGGAACUUUUUUGUUCUCGCAUCACUUCUUAGAGGGACUUUGCGUGUCUAACGCAAGGAAGUUUGAGGCAAUAACAGGUCUGUGAUGCCCUUAGAUGUUCUGGGCUGCACGCGCGCUACACUGGUGCAUGCAACGAGUUUUUGACCUUGGCCGGAAGGUCUAGGUAAUCUUUUGAGUAUGCAUCGUGAUGGGGAUAGAUUAUUGCAAUUAUUAAUCUUCAACGAGGAAUGCCUAGUAGGCGCAAGUCAGCAGCUUGUGCCGAUUACGUCCCUGCCCUUUGUACACACCGCCCGUCGCUGCAACCGAUCGGAGGGUCCUGUGAACUCGAUGGACUGCCCAUCCCCUUCUUGGGGUUGGGCUGGAAGUUGCGUAAAUAGAGCCCUCUAAAGGAUGCAAAAGUCGUAACACGGUUUCCGUAGGUGAACCUGCGGAAGGAUCAUUC